Molecule: ribosomal RNA, 485 nt
Filed under: uncultured bacterium
Lineage: Bacteria
Description: partial 16S ribosomal RNA
Rfam family: Bacterial small subunit ribosomal RNA
Source: RNAcentral
AUGAACGCUAGCGGCAGGCUUAACACAUGCAAGUCGCGGGGCAGCGCGGGAUAGCAAUAUCCUGGCGGCGACCGGCGGAAGGGUGCGUAACGCGUGAGCGACAUGCCCGUUGCCCGGGGACAACCGGUGGAAACGCCGACUAAUCCCCGAUGGGAUAUUGUGCCGCAUGGCACGAUAUUGAAAGUUACGGCGGCGACGGAUUGGCUCGCGUCCGAUUAGCUUGUUGGCGGGGUAACGGCCCACCAAGGCUGCGAUCGGUAGGGGUUCUGAGAGGAAGGCCCCCCACAAUGGGACUGAGACACGGCCCAUACUCCUACGGGAGGCAGCAGUGAGGAAUAUUGGUCAAUGGGCGGAAGCCUGAACCAGCCAUGCCGCGUGCGGGAAGGAGGCCCUAUGGGCUGUGAACCGCUUUUGCCUGGGGGCAAUAAGGGCGUCGCGCACGUCCGAUGAGAGUACCAGGCGAAUAAGCAUCGGCUAACUCCGUG